GUGAGGAAUAUUGCGCAAUGGAGGCAACUCUGACGCAGCCAUGCCGCGUGCAGGAAGAAGGCGCUACGCGUUGUAAACUGUUUUUAACCGGGAAGAAACCCCAGGACGUGUCCUGGGUUGACGGUACCGGAGGAAUAAGCACCGGCUAACUUCGUGCCAGCAGCCGCGGUAAUACGAAGGGUGCAAGCGUUAUCCGGAUUCAUUGGGUUUAAAGGGUGCGUAGGCGGAGCGUUAAGUCAGUGGUGAAAUACUGCAGCUUAACUGUAGACUUGACAUUGAUACUGGCGCUCUUGAGUGCGCUUGAAGUGGGCGGAAUGUGCCGUGUAGCGGUGAAAUGCUUAGAUAUGGCACAGAACACCAAUUGCGAAGGCAGCUCACUAAGGCGAUACUGACGCUGAGGCACGAAAGCGUGGGGAUCGAACAGGAUUAGAUACCCGGGUAGUCC
This 445-nucleotide ribosomal RNA is filed under the name uncultured bacterium. RNAcentral's name for it is "partial 16S ribosomal RNA". It matches the Rfam family "Bacterial small subunit ribosomal RNA", at positions 354 to 796 of the family's 1533-position model. The record is from RNAcentral.